GCUGCUGUAGCUCAGGGGUAGAGCGCACCCUUGGUAAGGGUGAGGUCGAGAGUUCAAUUCUCUCCAGCAGCACCA
RNAcentral lists this transfer RNA (75 nucleotides) under Parasphingopyxis marina. RNAcentral describes it as "tRNA-Thr". It matches the Rfam family "tRNA". Rfam says of the family: Transfer RNA (tRNA) molecules are approximately 80 nucleotides in length. Their secondary structure includes four short double-helical elements and three loops (D, anti-codon, and T loops). Lineage: Bacteria; Pseudomonadati; Pseudomonadota; Alphaproteobacteria; Sphingomonadales; Parasphingopyxidaceae. The record is from RNAcentral.